UCACGCUGUAAUGUUACUGCAGAAGGAAU
RNAcentral lists this non-coding RNA (29 nucleotides) under Rattus norvegicus (Norway rat). Lineage: Eukaryota; Metazoa; Chordata; Mammalia; Rodentia; Muridae. The record is from RNAcentral.